AUUGAACGCUGGCGGCAGGCCUAACACAUGCAGUCGAGCGGAUGAAGGGAGCUUGCUCCUGGAUUUAGCGGCGGACGGGUGAGUUAUGCCUAGGAAUCUUCCUGGUAGUGGGGGAUAACGUUCGGAAACGGGCGCUAAUACCGCCUACGUCCUGAGGGAGAAAGUGGGGGAUCUUCGGACCUCACGCUAUCAGAUGAGCCUAGGUCGGAUUAGCUAGUUGGUGGGGUAAAGGCCUACCAAGGCGACGAUCCGUAACUGGUCUGAGAGGAUGAUCAGUCACACUGGAACUGAGACACGGUCCAGACUCCUACGGGAGGCAGCAGUGGGGAAUAUUGGACAAAGGGCGAAAGCCUGAUCCAGCCAUGCCGCGUGUGUGAAGAAGGUCUUCGGAUUGUAAAGCACUUUAAGUUGGGAGGAAGGGCAGUAAGUUAAUACCUUGCUGUUUUGACGUUACCAACAGAAUAAGCACCGGCUAACUUCGUG
RNAcentral lists this ribosomal RNA (483 nucleotides) under uncultured bacterium. Its description in RNAcentral is "partial 16S ribosomal RNA". It matches the Rfam family "Bacterial small subunit ribosomal RNA", at positions 30 to 507 of the family's 1533-position model. The record is from RNAcentral.